This 235-nucleotide long non-coding RNA is filed under the name Lathyrus oleraceus (garden pea). RNAcentral's name for it is "Pisum sativum (pea) long non-coding RNA (PSAT_LNC024740)". The record is from RNAcentral. Lineage: Eukaryota; Viridiplantae; Streptophyta; Magnoliopsida; Fabales; Fabaceae.
AUAAUUGUUUGUAAUCAAUGUCAAUGGAAAUUGGAAUGUACCUUUUUUAUUCCUUUUAAGUCGAAGAUCUUUGCUAGUUACCUUUCUUCUUUAAUUUUUAGUUUUUGCUAAUUUCCUUUCUUUAUAAUUUUUUCAGAUCCGUCUUACAAAAAUUUCUAUCACAAUUCUUUUAGGGAAUUCGAGGAGCGAGAUUCAGAAGUGUUUGUGAAAUGCUGAGAAUUCAAGAGACUUUGAC